Molecule: ribosomal RNA, 497 nt
Filed under: uncultured bacterium
Lineage: Bacteria
Description: partial 16S ribosomal RNA
Rfam family: Bacterial small subunit ribosomal RNA
Source: RNAcentral
GAUGAACGCUGGCGGCGUGCCUAAUACAUGCAAGUCGAGCGAACGGACGAGAAGCUUGCUUCUCUGAUGUUAGCGGCGGACGGGUGAGUAACACGUGGAUAACCUGCCUAUAAGACUGGGAUAACUUCGGGAAACCGGAGCUAAUACCGGAUAAUAUUUUGAACCGCAUGGUUCAAAAGUGAAAGACGGUCUUGCUGUCACUUAUAGAUGGAUCCGCGCUGCAUUAGCUAGUUGGUAAGGUAACGGCUUACCAAGGCAACGAUGCAUAGCCGACCUGAGAGGGGGAUCGGCCACACUGGAACUGAGACACGGUCCAGACUCCUACGGGAGGCAGCAGUAGGGAAUCUUCCGCAAUGGGCGAAAGCCUGACGGAGCAACGCCGCGUGAGUGAUGAAGGUCUUCGGAUCGUAAAACUCUGUUAUUAGGGAAGAACAUAUGUGUAAGUAACUGUGCACAUCUUGACGGUACCUAAUCAGAAAGCCACGGCUAACUACGUG